GUUCGUCACUUCCGGCAGGCGCGAGGCGGAAGCGAAGAGCAGCUGCGGCAGGGGUUAGGGAGACCGCAGGUCAGAGUGGCCCCGGGGCAGAGGGGCCGGGGUCUGAGGUGCUUUCGCGGGGACGCGAGGUACCCGGGGGUGGCAGAGGCUUCCGAGGAAAGACUGCGCGCGACGGCGAGCCCCCGCCUCCUGCCCCGAGGCCGGCAUCCCUGGCGGGUCCCGAGGGGCCUGGUGCUAGGCUGGGCUGGGCCGGCCGGGGGCUGCUCGCGGGCCGCUUGCAGUUACCUCUUGGUCCUUCUGGACUGCCAGGAGGAAAUGGUUCUGGGGACGGUGCCUCCACCUUCCAGCACCGUCAGUUACAGUGUUACCAUAGUCGCCGUUAAGGCGGGAAACGAUGAACUCGGGCUCCUGGACCCCAAGCCACCCCGAGGAAUCGUCUGAGCAACCCGGGAUGAGGAAGAUGAUACAGUCACAAGUGGGACCUGGGAGCUGAGGGUCUUGCCCCAGAGCUUGCUGAGGAAGACAACGUGGAGAAACAGCCCAGAUUGUUCCAGACGGCUGAGAUGCAUAAAGUAGCACAGACUCAGUAGGGUGGCUGUUUCCCCUAGGAUGUCAAUCCACAGUGGUUUAAAUGACGUGCAAAUAAAAGAGGCAAUUU
This is a long non-coding RNA of Bos taurus (domestic cattle), 658 nucleotides long. NCBI's taxonomy places the organism in Eukaryota, Metazoa, Chordata, Mammalia, Artiodactyla, Bovidae. The record is from Ensembl.